CCCCGGUAAACGGCGGCCGUAACUAUAACGGUCCUAAGGUAGCGAAAUUCCUUGUCGGGUAAGUUCCGACCUGCACGAAUGGCGUAAUGAUGGCCAGGCUGUCUCCACCCGAGACUCAGUGAAAUUGAACUCGCUGUGAAGAUGCAGUGUACCCGCGGCAAGACGGAAAGACCCCGUGAACCUUUACUAUAGCUUGACACUGAACAUUGAGCCUUGAUGUGUAGGAUAGGUGGGAGGCUUUGAAGUGUGGACGCCAGUCUGCAUGGAGCCGACCUUGAAAUACCACCCUUUAAUGUUUGAUGUUCUAACGUGGACCCGUAAUCCGGGUUGCGGACAGUGUCUGGUGGGUAGUUUGACUGGGGCGGUCUCCUCCUAAAGAGUAACGGAGGAGCACGAAGGUUGGCUAAUCCUGGUCGGACAUCAGGAGGUUAGUGCAAUGGCAUAAGCCAGCUUGACUGCGAGCGUGACGGCGCGAGCAGGUGCGAAAGCAGGUCAUAGUGAUCCGGUGGUUCUGAAUGGAAGGGCCAUCGCUCAACGGAUAAAAGGUACUCCGGGGAUAACAGGCUGAUACCGCCCAAGAGUUCAUAUCGACGGCGGUGUUUGGCACCUCGAUGUCGGCUCAUCACAUCCUGGGGCUGAAGUAGGUCCCAAGGGUAUGGCUGUUCGCCAUUUAAAGUGGUACGCGAGCUGGGUUUAGAACGUCGUGAGACAGUUCGGUCCCUAUCUGCCGUGGGCGCUGGAGAACUGAGGGGGGCUGCUCCUAGUACGAGAGGACCGGAGUGGACGCAUCACUGGUGUUCGGGUUGUCAUGCCAAUGGCACUGCCCGGUAGCUAAAUGCGGAAGAGAUAAGUGCUGAAAGCAUCUAAGCACGAAACUUGCCCCGAGAUGAGUUCUCCCUGAGACUU
RNAcentral lists this ribosomal RNA (906 nucleotides) under Salmonella enterica. RNAcentral describes it as "partial 23S ribosomal RNA". It matches the Rfam family "Bacterial large subunit ribosomal RNA", at positions 1918 to 2823 of the family's 2925-position model. The record is from RNAcentral. Lineage: Bacteria; Pseudomonadati; Pseudomonadota; Gammaproteobacteria; Enterobacterales; Enterobacteriaceae. RNAcentral also lists the same sequence under 4 other names.